Molecule: long non-coding RNA, 1411 nt
Filed under: Oryctolagus cuniculus (rabbit)
Lineage: Eukaryota; Metazoa; Chordata; Mammalia; Lagomorpha; Leporidae
Description: lncRNA (ENSOCUG00000031049.1)
Source: RNAcentral
GACCGCACGCAGAGUCUUCUCAGAGUUGAUGCAUAAUUCAUGAGACUACUCCAGAUCCUGUCAUUGGAGACUGACGCUAUCUCACCUUCGGUGUGAAAGCACUCCUAGGAGUAAGAAGUCACUGGCAAUACGGCAAAUGCAAGGCAGACUUUCCUCGCCCCCAGCCGGCCUCACGGCCAAGGUCAGGAGGCGUUUUUCUGGCUGCGUGCGAGGCACAGGGCGGGCGGGCGUCUCCGGGGCCGGGGCUUGGUGGCUCCCGCCACCUCCUCCUCCGUCACACCCUCCCUCGGCACUAAGGCGCCUUCUGAGACGCCCCCCCCCCCCCCUUUGGCUCCGCUCAGCUGCACGGCUGCAGUCUGUUACGUAACUGUCACCGCCUCCAAGAUGGGAGCUGCCGUGUUCCUGAAGGCACGCAGGCGGGGCCUCGCUGCCGGGAACACUGGCCCCGUGACGCGGUCUCGGGGUCCGGGCCUGCUGCCCCGCUGCCCGCAGCCCUCGGUGCUCAAGCUGCAGGGGCUGCUGACCGACGGUGUCCAGCGUGGAGCUCCCUCUCGGCAGGCGUCUUGUCCUCACUGCUCUCACGACAACGCUGAGCCCUGGCCACACCUCCUGGGUGACCACUCACCUCCUGGGAGAGGGGACGGAGCUGCCCGGGGCUGGGCCUGCAGAGGGCACAGAGCUCCCAGGAGAGGGGACAGAGCUCCUGGGAGAGGGGACAGAGCUGCCCGGGGCUGGGCCUGGAGAGGGGACAGAGCUGCCCGGGGCUGGGCACUCAGGAGAGGAGACAGAGCUCCCAGGAGAGGGGACAGAGCUGCCCGGGGCUGGGCCUGGAGAGGGCACAGAGCUCCCAGGAGAGGGGACAGAGCUGCCCGGGGCUGGGCCUGGAGAGGGCACAGAGCUCCCAGGAGAGGGGACAGAGCUGCCCGGGGCUGGGCCUGGAGAGGGGACAGAGCUGCCCGGGGCUGGGCCUGGAGAGGGGACAGAGCUCCGGGGCUGCCCGACCUCAGUCACAGUGCUGGAAGUGGGCGGCAGACCCCAGAGCAAGCCAGAACCUCAGUCCUCCCUAGACAGCCAGCUGGGCGCUCAGGAGAGGGGACACAGAGUCUCUGAGGGCAGAGGGCAGGGGAAGGAAGCGGAGGGGGACUUCAGGGCCAAAGUGUCAAAGUGUCAAAGCAAGCCAGGGGCCCUCCUAGCACCCUGUGGGCGCCUCCCGUGCCCCUUACAGCGGGGCCCUCGAAGGGCCCCGGGAGCCCCAGGCCUUGCAAGUCCUUCCAACAGGCCAGUGGGCCUGCGACGGUGGUGGCUCAGCACACACUCAAGCUGAGCCCACGGGGACACGGGGCCUGCCUGGGACACACAUCCCCCCGGCGCAGGGACACGACGCCCCCACUGCCCGCGCGCACACACACAA